GACGAACGCUGGCGGCGUGCUUAACACAUGCAAGUCGAACGGAAAGGCCCUGCUUUUGUGGGUUGCUCGAGUGGCGAACGGGUGAGUAACACGUGAGUAACCUGCCCUUGACUUUGGGAUAACUUCAGGAAACUGGGGCUAAUACCGGAUAGGAGCUCCUGCUGCAUGGUGGGGGUUGGAAAGUUUCGGCGGUUGGGGAUGGACUCGCGGCUUAUCAGCUUGUUGGUGGGGUAGUGGCUUACCAAGGCUUUGACGGGUAGCCGGCCUGAGAGGGUUACCGGCCACAUUGGGACUGAGAUACGGCCCAGACGCCUACGGGAGGCAGCAGUGGGGAAUAUUGCACAAUGGGCGGAAGCCUGAUGCAGCAACGCCGCGUGCGGGAUGACGGCCUUCGGGUUGUAAACCGCUUUCGCCUGUGACGAAGCGUGAGUGACGGUAAUGGGUAAAGAAGCACCGGCUAACUACGUG
This 468-nucleotide ribosomal RNA is filed under the name uncultured bacterium. RNAcentral's name for it is "partial 16S ribosomal RNA". It matches the Rfam family "Bacterial small subunit ribosomal RNA", at positions 28 to 507 of the family's 1533-position model. The record is from RNAcentral.